CCCAGACUCCUACGGGAGGCAGCAGUGGGGGAUAUUGCACAAUGGGGGGAACCCUGAUGCAGCGACGCCGCGUGGGUGAAGGAGCGUUUCGGCGCGUAAAGCCCUAUCGGCAGGGAAGAAGGAGGACGGUACCUGACUAAGAAGCCCCGGCUAACUACGUGCCAGCAGCCGCGGUAAUACGUAGGGGGCAAGCGUUAUCCGGAUUUACUGGGUGUAAAGGGGGCGCAGACGGCAGCGCAAGCCAGGAGUGAAAGCCCGGGGCCCAACCCCGGGACUGCUCUUGGAACUGCGCGGCUGGAGUGCAGGAGGGGCAGGCGGAAUUCCUGGUGUAGCGGUGAAAUGCGUAGAUAUCAGGAGGAACACCGGUGGCGAAGGCGGCCUGCUGGACUGCGACUGACGUUGAGGCUCGAAAGCGUGGGGAGCAAACAGGAUUAGAUACCCUAGUA
RNAcentral lists this ribosomal RNA (446 nucleotides) under uncultured bacterium. Its description in RNAcentral is "partial 16S ribosomal RNA". It matches the Rfam family "Bacterial small subunit ribosomal RNA", at positions 330 to 792 of the family's 1533-position model. The record is from RNAcentral.